UCCAUUUAUCUAGUUCAAGAUUAUGCCUGACAAAACACAAACAGCUGUGAAACUAGUAUACUCUAACAAAUUUGUGGGAAGUGGUACAAUUAAGUCAAGCAAGUUGGACUACCUGUUACAAUGGCAAUAUCUUGGAGAAGAGCUUUCCUCCUUUGCCCAAAAUCGGGUGCUCUGAUGGCAGCAACGUUCAGUAUACCUCGCAGCUUGUUCACAACAAGAGUAGCCAAAGCUUUUCCAGUUACAUCUCCAGCAAUAAUGAGCAGAGGCGCUCGUAAUUCAGUUGACUUCUCCAGGAGGGGCAUAAUAUCCUUGAUUGCUGAAAUCUCCUGAUCUGUAACCAGCACUUGCCAGGUGCUCUGAUCGCAGCAACAUUCAGUACACCUCGCAGCUUGUUCACAACAAGAGUGGCCAAAGCUUCUCCAGUUACGUCUCCAGCAACAAUGAGCAGAGG
RNAcentral lists this long non-coding RNA (451 nucleotides) under Nicotiana benthamiana. Its description in RNAcentral is "long non-coding RNA (NBEN_LNC013140)". Lineage: Eukaryota; Viridiplantae; Streptophyta; Magnoliopsida; Solanales; Solanaceae. The record is from RNAcentral.